AACGCAGCGAAAAUGCGAUACCUAGUGUGAAUUGCAGAAUUCCGCGAAUCAUCGAGUUUUUGAACGCAAGUUGCGCCCGAGGCUCGUACCGAGGGCAUGUCUGUCUGAGCGUCCA
This 115-nucleotide ribosomal RNA is filed under the name Frullania chevalieri. RNAcentral's name for it is "partial 5.8S ribosomal RNA". It matches the Rfam family "5.8S ribosomal RNA", at positions 42 to 154 of the family's 154-position model. Rfam says of the family: 5.8S ribosomal RNA (5.8S rRNA) is a component of the large subunit of the eukaryotic ribosome. It is transcribed by RNA polymerase I as part of the 45S precursor that also contains 18S and 28S rRNA. Lineage: Eukaryota; Viridiplantae; Streptophyta; Jungermanniopsida; Porellales; Frullaniaceae. The record is from RNAcentral.